Molecule: transfer RNA, 125 nt
Filed under: Annulohypoxylon truncatum
Lineage: Eukaryota; Fungi; Ascomycota; Sordariomycetes; Xylariales; Hypoxylaceae
Description: tRNA-Leu
Rfam family: tRNA
About the family: Transfer RNA (tRNA) molecules are approximately 80 nucleotides in length. Their secondary structure includes four short double-helical elements and three loops (D, anti-codon, and T loops).
Source: RNAcentral
GGUGGAAUGGCCGAGUGGUUAUGGCGCUGCGUUCAGGUCAAGCUGAAUUUGAAUCUAGUAUUAGAUGCCGGUGGUAAAAUAUCGCAGUGGAGCAAUCCGCGUGGGUUCGAGUCCCACUUCCAUCA